UCCUACGGGUAGGCUUGCACGUUGGGGA
RNAcentral lists this small RNA (28 nucleotides) under Bombyx mori (domestic silkworm). RNAcentral describes it as "ovarian small RNA-27705". The record is from RNAcentral. Lineage: Eukaryota; Metazoa; Arthropoda; Insecta; Lepidoptera; Bombycidae.